AGCACAUGGCGUGCACCGUAGCGCACGAGGAAAACAGAAUAGAAGCGGAGUGAGGCAGCGAGCGCCUUCGAUCGUUUCCUUGUUCGCUUUCUAAGUCAUCGAAGAACCGUUUCUUUGAGAUCAAUAGCCGAAUGGAUAAAGGUGGGAUGGACGCGGCGCCUCCUCCUCCUCCUCGAUCCCCUGCAUCUCUCAGGUGGUCGAUCCUCCGCAAGUCGCUCCUCCGUCGUCCCUCCGCCGCACCAGAUGAGCCCUCGGAAGUGAACACCAAGAACGUAUCCAGGAAAAGAGGUGGUGGCUUUAACCUGAUCCCGUGUCACCCGGUUGACGAUAGCGAUUCAGUGGAAGUCGUAGAAGCUACCCUGCGGGCGAAAUAUCUCGUCGGUCCACGUGAUGUCUGCACACGCUACAAAUUACCUUUGGAGAAUGGUCCUGGACUUGUUAUGAUCCAAAGAAUGGAGGAUUGUGUUGACCUAAAUGAUUUUGAGAUCUCCACUAGAUUUGAUAUCGACACCACGGGGUUAGUUUGUAGUUGGCCUUCAGAAGAUGUCCUUGCUUAUUUUUGCGUAAAUCAUCCUUUUAUGUUCCGGUCCAAAAGAGUGAUUGAACUUGGAUCAGGUUAUGGGUUAGCUGGAUUGGCUAUUGCUGCAAGUUCAGAUGCUCAAGAGGUGGUAAUUUCUGAUGGGAACCCAAAUGUUGUUGAUUAUAUUCAGCAUAACAUAAGUCUCAAUGCUCAAGUUUUUGGAGCUACAAAAGUACAAUCAAUGAUCUUGCAUUGGAAUCAGGAUCUAGUUUCUGAUGUGUUGAGUUCCUUUGAUGUUGUUGUUGCAAGUGACUGCACUUUCUUCAAGCAAUUUCACGAAAGCCUUGCGUGUACAGUCAAGUCUCUCUUGAAACGUUCAGAGGUCUCUGAAGCCAUUUUUCUGAGUCCUAAGAGAGAGUUGGAUGUGCAGAGUUCUAGCACCAGGAGAUAAAGUUUUGGAAAGUCGAGGACUAAACAGGCAAAGAUUGGCAGACAAACCAUUUCCAAGCAUCAUGAUGCUUCAACCAGGACCAACUUCUGAGACAUCCAUGAUGAUGCAGCAAUCAAUAAUUCCUAGGUCACUGUUCCAGACAAUUAGCUCAGGGACUGAAACCUUAAACCCAUAAGAAUUGCUUCUGCCAGAGAAAUUUCUUUUGGAACAAAAGUUGCUGCCUUUACAUGGUUGGCCACAUGAGAAUGUGCCUUUUCCUGCACUAAUAUUCCCAGGACCUGGUCUUCAGUGCAUGACUGGCCAUUUCUAUAGAUUAUUGUGUUACUAUGGUCGUUCCAGUCUUUGUCCUUUGUCCUAUUGCCUCCACCUGCUACACCACAGUAAUGAGUGGCUUUCAAACACUUGGGAAUCUGAUGCAUUCAUACCAGCCAUGAAGGUCAGGCAAGAACCAGAUACCAGGAAUUUAUGUAGCCAUAUCUUGGAAUAUUGUUUGGCCUUAUUAAACUAUGAGAGAGAGACAGAGAGAGAACUGUUGUAUCAAAGUGAUUUGUCCUUUGCACCAAAAGAAUCCAUUCAUCAAUUUCUUUUACCAAUUGCCACCUCAGGUUGUUUGGGCUUUUAAAGGCACAACACAUUGACAAGGGGAUUAAUUGUAGAUGAAACCAGAAAAAAAAAUUGUGGCCUGAUAAUAUAUCCAUGUCUAAGAAUGAAUCAUUUUGGAUUUGGGUGUCCAAGUGUCAGGUUAAUUUCUUUAUCAUUGAUUAAAAUUGUGGAUUUUAGAGAUUUAACAUUUUAUGGCUUUCAUAAAAAUUUUCCUGUUUGAUACAAAGCAACAAUGUUCAGUGCUUUUACUAUAAGCAUCAUCAUCCAAAAUGAGACUGGUAGAUUAGAAUUGGAACUGAACAAUUUUGAUGAUCAAAUAGCAUUUUGCUGCAUAGGAACCAUCAUGAUGAAGACUGAAUCAUAAAGCAAUUCAUCAUAUUCAACUGCUGGAAAAAGAAGAUUAAAUGGAAAAAGAAGAUUAAAUUCAUCAUAUCCUGUUUCUAAGUAAAUAAAAGUAAAAAUUAAAUGAUCAAUCAUUGUCAGAGACCUUUUAUUCUCAUUAGCCAAAAAUGUCAUCAGAGUUGCAAUUGCUUUGGACCAUAAAUGGAGAUAUAAACUAGGAGAGAUGUAUCUAAAUGAAGGUACAAUGUACUGAAACAAGAUGAGGAAAGGAGAUCAUUUCUAAGUUGUCUUCAGAUCCCAUAUAGAUGGGAGCCCUGGAAAUAAAAAUGUUUUCUAUCCAUAGAUCAUCUCUAGCAUUCUCUAAUGACACUACAACUGCAAAUUUGUUGCUGAAACCUUAAAUUUAAAUCAGGGAAAAAAAAAAGCAGGAGAAAUUGGAUGUAUACACAACAUUAUCUGAAUGAAGCUUGGGAUGUGGUUUACACCUACAGCUUUCUCAUCUGGUACAGCUCCAACCUCGCCUUGGCCUCCGGCAACAGAUCGUCCGCCCUCCAGUCCUGCACCAGGUGCGCUUGCUUCGAUGCCCACGACAGCGUGUUGAGCACCUCGGCGUCCGCCAGCUCCUGGCUGUCGGGCACGUGCAUGGCAAUGUAGCACAGCAGGACCAACGCCUCGACCUGCACCUGCUCCCCCAGGUACACCAGCUGGAUCAGGUGCCUCGCCCCUCCGGCCUCGAUGAUGGCCUGCGAGUGGUUGACGUGCAGGUAGUUCUCGGUGCACGCGAACUUGGUCAGCGCCGCCACCGCCUCGCUCAUCACCGUCGCUUCCGUCUCGUCGAGCAGGCGCACCAGCGGAGCGAUCACCCGGGACUCGGUCGCCCGGAACGUCCUCGACAGGCAGCCCAGGGCCGUCACGCUGGGUACCAGCAGGUCGUCGUGCUCCCCCUUCUCGACGAUGUGUAAGAGCUGGUCGAUGACCGCCUUGCACGCUGGCGAGUUCGGCUUGAAUGCGGAGCGCCGGAGGUCGGCGUUGUGCUCGGCCACGCGGGUGAUUUCCAUCAGUGCCAUGGCGGAAUUGUGUCGAACAUCUCCCGUGCCUUUCUCCAGGAGCACCGCGAAGCAGAGGAGGGCUCGGGACUCGGUGAGGUUCCUGCAGAUGUCGGCGUUGCCCCUGGCGAGCUGCCACAGGGCCUUGGCUGCCAUGGCCUUCAUCUUGGCCUUGGUGCUCCGGUCCUCCAUUUCCCUCGCCCUGUUGCCGGACCCCGACAGAGAAUGCUGCUGGGGCUUCCAGGGCGCGGUUGUGCUGGUGACGCUGUUUGAGUUCAGGGCGAGUCUACUGACCUUGGCGGAGGCCACCGUGGACUGCACGACGGAGUGGAAUUGAUAGCUUUUGGACUGAUCUUCCGGAUGCGAGAGCAGACACCGGUCCUUGGCGUCGUCGAAGGAGGAAUCGGACGCGGCGGCCUUGUUGGCUAGUACAACGGAGUGGAUGGACAUGGCCUUGGACGGCACGGAGUACUUGCUAUGUUCUUGGAUGGUCUCGAAGGCGAGGUGGCCGACAAGGAGGCGGACGACGUUGUUCUUAGCGAAGACGUCCUGGCACUUGGAAUUGUUGGCGGCUAGCUCGGCGACGGCCCACGCGACGACGGCCUGGACCUUCAUGGGCCCGUCCUUGAGGACCUUGCCGAAGGCGGAGCAGACUCCAGCGGCGACGAGGCAGUCAACGCUCUCCCGGUCGCGGCCGAGGAGGCCGAGUGCGCGGGCGGCAUUCUCCUGCCCCUCCGCCUUGCCCUCCUUGAGCAGGCGGAGGAGGGGCGCGACGCCGUCCUCUUCGAUGAUGAGCUUGGCGAAGUGCUGGUUGUCGCGGGCGAGGGAGACGAGGGCGGCGGCCGCCUCGGAUCGGGCGUCCGAGUGACCGGUGUGGAGCGUGGCGAUGUUGCUCCAGAUGAGGGUGAGGAUGGGCUCGUUCUGGGCGAUGGGGCACAGGCCGUGGAGCAGGCCGUCGUCGUCUCCAGCGGGCGCGGAGACGCGGAGGAGCCAGGAGACAUCGGCCACAGAGUUGUCGAUCUGGAUGAACAUCUUGGAGAAGGCGGCACCGGGGGUGAUGCUGAAGAGGCGGUGCACGAGGACGCGGUUGCGGCAGCGGUAGACAAGGCCCAGGGCCUUAUCGAGGACCUGCUCGGUGUCAUCCAUGAUGCGGCGGGCGGGGCGCUCGUAGAGCUCGGCCCGGGCGGCCUGGCGGAGGAGGGUCGCGAGCUUGUCCGCCCGCGCCUUCAGCUCCAAGCACUCCUGCUUGUUGGUCUGGGCACUCCCAGCCGACUUGCUCACCUGAUCCGCCAGCUGGAUCGGCUUCGCCAGGAUCUGCUUCGUCCCCUCCGCCAUUUCCUCCUGCUCCCGACACUCGAGCUUGUCGUCGACGGAAGAUGAAGAGGUCUCGCAGCGUCAAUACACCACUCCUGAUCGGUACGUACUGCUCACACCCUCCCCUGUCCCACCGGCUCUUCGGGCACCGCUUAAUGGUCGGUCCCGCGUGUGGUCCCCAUGAAUCACUUUCCAAUCACAAUGCAUGAGCAGGUUAACUAAUGUUGGGUACGUCACCCAAAGCAUCCCGAUCCGAUCUGAUUAAAUCCGGAUCUGAGACAACUCAAGCUCGAUCCAAAUUUAAUGGGUCGAAUCGAAAUCAUCCAAUUAAGAUCCGGCCCGAAUUCAAAUUUGAUCCAAUAAGGAAUCGACCUGAUAUGGUUCCACCAUUUCUUGGAUCCGAGACAACCCCGGUAAUCAUGGAAGACGGUGUCCCCGUCCCUGGUAAUGUGGUCGUCGAGGCAAACACAAGCGCGCGCAAGUCACGGAGAAUGGUCAACUCUCUUUUGCACUCUGGUAAUCAUGGCUGUUUGACCACUUGAGUUAUUGGUUCUAAAGAGCAUUUUAAUCUUGCUUUUACGUGCCUGAAAGCCUCAUUCUUCCUUUUGCAUACAGCAAACAGAAUACAAUGACUUUUUGAUCAUUCUAUAAGACUAUAUCUGGUCCGUGGUGUACUACUUCUAAACACCAAACUAUUAGCCUUGUUUUAGUUGUAGAUUUAUGCAUGUUUUGAUCUCUACUUGUUAUGAUUCUGUAUCAGUUUAAUUUGCUAAUUUAUGUGCAAUUCAAGCAUGCAAGACUAUAAAUGGAAUUUAUCUUUGAUGUAACAUAACUCAGAUUAUAUUUCCUUUUUCCGUUGUGCUGUUAAGGUUAAAAGAAUCAGGAGUGCAGCUCCUGGAACUUUUAAGGUUAAGAGUGCACCACAUCAAACAGUUGAUUAAUCAUAUACAACCGUAUGACGUGAUCUACUGAAUUGUUAUUUGUUGGAUGCUAUUCAUGUUCUGCUAGAGGUUUGAGAAGGUUGAGAAAUUGGCGGGCUUUGUAGACCAUGAACAACACUUCUUAAGGUUUCAACUUUAGAAGGAUGUGACGAUGCUGUCGAUAUUUGGUUAGUGCUUAGAUAAUAAACAACCUAAGAACUCCAAGCAGUGCUGGCUUUAGACCAUCAUUUUUAUAUUUCACUAUAUAUAAAAAUUAUUGAAUAUGCGCAUGGUUUCAGCUUUCAAUGAAGUGCAAUAGGCAUUGGGCUUGCAUCUGGGAAGUGCACAGCCUUUGAACACCAAAGCAAAUGCUUGUUUUGACCAUCAUGUGUAUAGUAAUACAUGUAUUCAUGUGAAGCUAUCAGUAAACACAUGCAUUGGCUAAGUUAAUAAUGCUCUCUGUCAUACAGGUAAUCUCCUAUUUUCUUUAAUCUAAUUGCUUCUAGUAUAUCUUCUAGGUGCUUUGAGUGACAGCGUGACUACUAUAAAGAGUCAAGGUAUUUGUUGCGAGGAACAAUUGUAUGCCGUGGCCUCGGGGCCGACGCGGCUUGGUUCGGGUCCGGAAGGCGGGGAUCUCCCUGGGGCGCUCCUCGAGCCCGCUAGGGUGGUCGUGGGCGAGGUCCGAUCGGGACGGUAUAGUCGUCUCUUCCAGGCAGGAACUCCUCGCCUGCGGGGCCGACGAGAUCCUUUGGCUUCGCCCCUGCAUAAAGGUUGGGCCGGGGUGCUCGGCCCGACCCCUCCGACGAUCAAGUUAGAUGGAGAUGUGGAGGGGGUUUGUUUAGUGAAGAAGUCCCCCUCCCCCCUUCGUUUAGGACUCGGGGGUAUUUAUAAGGCAGUUUAGCGUUACCUGAUGUGCCUGCCUGCGGGAGACAGGAUCGUACCUCUGAUGGCGUCUGACAUUGCCAUUGACGUUGCGUGGAGAAUCGAGCUGCCGCAGGGUAUGGGCGAGCUUCGGUCGUCGUCCUCUGCCUCGGUCAAGCGCGCGGGGUCAGACAACGAUGAAGUCAUUGUCUGAGGGCAGAUGACAUCAGCACAUGUCGAGUCAGCAUUAUUGUCCUCCUUUUCGGGCAGAGUGGCACCCAGGUCAUGUUAUUCAUGAUUUCUGGAGAAUAUUACUUUAGUAAACUGAUAGCAGGAGAGCAAUUUCUUCAGUUGCUUUUGUCUCCUCCCAGUAUUCUAUUUGUCAAAUUGCUGAUGGUUGACAACUGAAGCACAUAAAUAAUAGAAAUGAACCCGGGGGUCUAUAUACACACCUUACCUUUAUAUUUGCAUAGAGACGGUUUCCGAGAUUUGAAUUUGAGUUAUUCAUGGUUUUUGGAGAACAUCACAUUUGAUGAUUUUAAUUCUUUUCUGAUUCUUUUCAUUCAAUUAUAUAUUGUCAAAGUGUGUUAUGUUGUGAUGAUACAGUUAGAUGUUUUGACUACCUGAUGCCUGUGUUUGCAGAUACCUGUGAACAUGGCAGAGUUGUGGGUUUCCACUUUCAAUGCUUCCCAGUUUAUGCUUCCAAUCCUCUAAACAAUCCUCUUUAUAUAUGCUAAUAUGAUGGACUUUACAUCCAAAUGUUUUUUUGUCCAGGGAAGAAUAAUGAGAAGAGGGAAGCAAAGGAUAAGUUGGAUUCUUGCAAUCUCAAAAGACUGAUAAAGAGGAAAAAGAACAGGGAAAUCCUUUCAACUUGGUUAAUUUUCAGUUGUUAAGUCAGUCAUUCUUAAUUAGGAAUAAAUCUGUUCUCUCUUUUUUUUU
This is an RNA transcript of Musa acuminata AAA Group (dessert banana), 6996 nucleotides long. It is a transcript of the gene named calmodulin-lysine N-methyltransferase-like, with no coding region annotated. The record is from RefSeq and is a predicted model, not a curated record. Lineage: Eukaryota; Viridiplantae; Streptophyta; Magnoliopsida; Zingiberales; Musaceae. The transcript has 9 exons.